Molecule: ribosomal RNA, 445 nt
Filed under: uncultured bacterium
Lineage: Bacteria
Description: bacterial SSU rRNA
Rfam family: Bacterial small subunit ribosomal RNA
Source: RNAcentral
AUUGAACGCUGGCGGCAUGCCUUACACAUGCAAGUCGAACGGCAGCGCGGGGCAACCUGGCGGCGAGUGGCGAACGGGUGAGUAAUAUAUCGGAACAUACCCUAGAGUGGGGGAUAACGUAGCGAAAGUUACGCUAAUACCGCAUACGCACUAAGGUGGAAAGUGGGGGGAUCUUCGGACCUCAUGCUCAUGGAGUGGCCGAUAUCUGAUUAGCUAGUUGGUGAGGUAAAGGCUCACCAAGGCGACGAUCAGUAGCUGUUUGAGAGACGACCAGCACACUGGAACUGAGACACGGUCCGGACUCCUACGGGAGGCAGCAGUGGGGAAUUUUGGACAAUGGGGGGCAACCCUGAUCCAGCAAUGCCGCGUGAGUGAAGAAGGCCCUUGGGUUGUAAAGGCUACUUUAGCGAGGGAAGAAGGUAGAUACGGUGAAUAAUCGUAGUUU